UACCGGAGCCCCGAGUGGUGACCAUGAUUAUUGGGCCUAAAGCGUCCGUAGCCGGAUUAGUAAGUUCUCGGUGAAAUUGUCAAGCUUAACUUGACGAAUGGCCUUGAAUACUGCUAAUCUAGGGAUCGGGAGAGGUCAAGAGUAUGCCUGGGGGAGGGGUAAAAUCCUUUAAUCCUAGGUAGACUACCAAUGGCGAAGGCACUUGACUAGAACGAGUCCGACGGUGAGGGUCGAAAGUUAGGGUAGCAAA
Molecule: ribosomal RNA, 250 nt
Filed under: uncultured archaeon
Lineage: Archaea
Description: partial 16S ribosomal RNA
Rfam family: Archaeal small subunit ribosomal RNA
Source: RNAcentral